Long non-coding RNA from Bos taurus (domestic cattle), 5313 nucleotides. NCBI's taxonomy places the organism in Eukaryota, Metazoa, Chordata, Mammalia, Artiodactyla, Bovidae. The record is from Ensembl.
GCUGCACCUUGAAGGUCCGAUUGUGAUAGACAAGGAAAGGUUUCCAGGCGAAGGGUAAAAACACAGCUGUUGGGUACUGAGGUGCGUCAUGGGCUGGAGGGUGGGGCCCCUGCUCCACUUAACCCAGCUCACCCACAGGUGUAGAAAUGUCUGUUCUCCACAUUCACCCCCCUCCCACUCCUUGCCCUUGCCCACCAGCACUUCUGCCCACGAUGGGCACAGCAGGUCAUGCUAAUAGCUUACAUGGGAAUGUGGGAAAUAAGGUCAUUCUGUUCCCGUUCCAGUCUUGUUCUGGGGAAAUGUUUAGCAACCCACUGAGUGGGGAGGGGGACUUGGAGCAUCUGCCAGUUGCCACAGGGUAAAUACUCCCAUCUCAGCUAAAACCUCACGAAAAUUGCAACAUCACUAAAUACACAGCUCUUGUGAGCCCCGAAGAGCCAACUCCAGGCCAUCACCCUACCUACUCCCUCCUGGAAAAGUCUGCCUAAAGGUGGAUGAGAACUGCUCCUGAACGCUGUGCCUUCUCAAUGCGGUGCAGACCCUUCAUGCCCCACCUCUUCUUUCUUCAGCUGGGCUUGGCAAUCUUUGCCUUUCAGGGAGUGGUACAGAGAUAGAGCUGAAAGGGCGCCUGCCCAGGGAGCUGCUGGAGACAACAGAUGCACCUGAAACCAGGACUGUGUCGCUUCAGAAAGCCGGGAGCAAGACACGCCCCAGAGCUGGUUUAACCUGCUGUAACUAGACUGGCUGAAUUAACUAUCCCUCAACUGGACACAUGACCACUCAUUCCUAUGGAGGACUUUCAUCUGACAAACAUUUUCUCCUCUCCUUUGUCCAUCCCACUGGGAAGCAUCAACUGGCUACUCCUCCUCCAUCCUGACUCCGCCCCCAUCACCUGUCUGCCUCUCCCUCCUCCACCUUACCUAGUCAGUCGCUUGGAUCCUCCCCAAGCUCCACUGCUUAGCUCAGGCUCAUCAGAGCUCACCUGAACUGCGGUAGCCUCCUCCCCAUCUACCCAUCUACCCCAGCUCCAUUCCCCAUAAAAGCAGGUCUCAGCUUGCCACUUCUCUGCUGCUAAUCCUGUUUUGCAUCAGAGGCCAAGGCCCAGCCCUCAGGGACCAACGAGCAGGACAAACCAGGGUGCCUGAAUAAAACAUGCCUCUUCCAGUCAGUCACCCAGGAGAAACUUACUCAUCCCAGGAGGGGAGGCGGGGGAAGAAGCUCUAGGGAGGAUUCUGGCCCAGCCAACUCUCAUCAACCGAGGUGAGGAAGGGGGACACGGUGGUGGCUCAGCCUGGGGUAAGGACUAGACCCCAUUCCACUUACAAACUGCCCUCUGCUUUUCUUAGAUGUUCAACCUCAUUCAUAAAAUCUGCUCAGUUGCUCUGUCGUGUCCAGCUCUUUGUGACCCCACAGACUGUAGCCUGUUAGGCUCCUCUGUCCAUGGGAUUCUCCAGGCAGGAAUACUGGAGUGGGUUGCCAUUUCCUUCUCCAGGGGAUCUUCCCGACCCAGGGAUUGAACCCUGGUCUCCUGUAUUACAGGCAGAUUCUUUACCAUCUGAGCCACUGGAGAAGCCCCCAUUCAUAACAUAAGAAAUGUAAAUUAAAACUACAAGAUACCAUUUUUCACCUAUCAGAUGAGCGAAACCAGAAACCCAGCAAAAGGGAGCUCAUGCCUGUCGAGGUCAAGGUGCCCCAGGGUUUUCCCAGUGGAUCAAUGGUAAAGUAUCUGUCAAUGCAGGAGACAGUGCGGGUUCUACCCCAGAAUUCGGAUGAUCCCCUGGAGGAGGAAAUGGCAAUUCACUCCAGUAUUCUUACCUGGAAAAUCCCAGAGACAGAGGACCCUGGCAGACUAUACAGUCCAUGAGGUUGCAAAAGAAUUGGACCUGACUGAGCAACUAAACCAUAACAACACCAUACAGGUGCCCUAACGUAUGUAUAAUAUGCAUCAGGAUAUUCACUGAACUAUAGCUUUCAUAGUUUCCAUUUGGAACCAAAAUAGGAGGGUAGUUAAUAAGUUCUACUUCAGCAAUACAAUUAAAUAUUACGUUCUAUUUAAAAGAAUGAGGCAGCUAAGUACUAAAAUUAAGUGAUCCUAAUUAAGAUUUAUCAUGUGCAAAAGCAAAGUGCAGAACAGUGAGUACAGCAUUUAAAGCUUAUGAUUUAAAAAAAAAAAAAGUAAACAUUUCAUAAGUAUAGAGUGUCUUUGGAAGGAAACAAUCAACAACAGUGUUGUGGAGUGGGAUGCUGGGAGACCAAGAAUAUAAAUGGGAGGAAGACUUUAUGGUGUGUGCCCUUUGAAUUUUGUGAAAUAUUAUCAAAUCCAGCAAAAUAUCAUGAAUGUAUAUUUCAUAUGUAUAUUAUGUAUGUGUGUGUGUAUAGAAUAAUUUUAAGUGUAAGGGACCUUUUAAAAAAUAUGUUUAUUUAUUUAUUUGGCCAUGCCUUGAAGCUUGCAGGAUCUUAGUUCUAUAACCGGGGAUCAAAACUCAGCAGUGGAUGUGCACAGUCCUAACCCCUGCACCCCGAGGGAAUUCCCUAAAAGGAGAGGAUUUUUCUACCCUGCUGCCGUCUAUGGGGUCGCACAGGGUCGGACACGACUGAAGUGACUUAGCAGCAGCAGCAGCAGUGCUCCGUGAGAGAUGGUGAUAAGCGUACUGCAUGGCCCUGCCCCUUCCAGACCUCAAUUUUCCAUCUAUACAAUGGCAGUCUCGGGGACUGCAAGGACAUCAAACCAGUCAAUCCUAAAAGAAGUCAACCCUGAAUAUUCAUGGAAGGACUGAUGCUGAAGCUGAAGCUGCAGUACUUUGACUACAUGAUUUGACAAGCCGACCCAUUGGAAAAGACCCUAAUACUGGGGAAGAUUAACGGCAGGAGGAAAAGGGGGUGACAGAGGAUGAGAUGGUUGGAUAGCAUCACCAACUCAAUGGACAUGAAUUUGAACAAACUCCAGGAGAUAGUGGAGGCCAGAGGAGCCUGGUGUGCUGCAGGUCCGUGAGGUUGCAAAGAAUCAGACACAACUUACCAAAUGAAUAACAGUGAGAGUUUGAGACUAGGUUCCUGCCUUACUUCUUAAUCUUACAGCUAACCAACCAAACCAGUACCGAUGUAGUGGCCAUAAGAUGACCUUUGAUGGGCUGGGGAAGGGAUGGUAUAAAAUGGCAUUAAUGAAUGAGCAAAGUCCGGGAGAUAGUGGAGGACAGGGAAGUUGGGCGUGCUGCAGUCACUGGGGCUACAAAGAGUUGGACAUGACUUAGCAACUAAAAAACAACAACAACAAUAAAAGUCGGAGGCACUGCCAUCAGUUGAACAGGAUCACUCCUGUGGCUUUGGAGCAAGUGAUCAUGGGAAAGCUGCAUCUGCCUGCAUUGGGGACACCUGUCUCUCCUGCAAAUCAGUUCCCUAGGGCUUGGCAGCUUCUUCCCUCCCAUCACCUAUCUGCUUCUUCCAUCACCAAUCUGCCCACCUGCCUCUAUCCCUGAGGCCCUCAGGGAGGAGCUGACCCAGGGAAGGAGCUAGAGACAGCAGUGGAACAAGUUCUAUGGGGCAGAGGGAAGGCGCCUACCUCCCUAUUUAUUAACUGAGGUCCUGGCCUCCCUCCGGCCCUGAUCUAGGCAGAUCAGGCUCUGCCUAGCUUAGCCUGCCUGCCCGCUCCUCCCCACCUCCCUGUGCCCAUUCAAAGGAGGCAGCUCUCAUAUAUGCUGGAGCUUGACACACCCAGCUCCUUCCACCAGUCUAGCCUUCUCCUCUAACAGAAGAUGUCUGUGCCUGAGGCUGGGAGACCUGAGAUGCCUGCUAUGUUGAGCCUCCCUGGGAGGUGAGACCUGGCAAUCUGAGCCUUCAGAGCACACCCAGAGCCCCAGUUAGCAGGCAGCCAUCUCUCUCCAAAGCCUCCUGCUGGGCUCAGCACUGGCCUUUUCUCUCUCUGUCUCUUUACGAAAAAAAAAAGUAUUUAUUUAUUUGGUGGUAUCAGCCUGUAGGAUCUUCAAUCUUCGUUGCAGCAUGCAAGCUCUUAAUUGUGGAAUUGUCUAGUUCCCUGACCAGGGAUCGAACCCAGAUCUCCUGCGCUGGGGGCACGGAGUCUUAGCUACUGGACCAGCAGGGAGUUUCCUGGCCUUUUUCUUAAUGAUCUUAAUGAUGAGAGCCAAAGGGAAAAUACAUGGGAGUCAGAGGAACUGAGGCUGGAUAUUUUCCUGGCCCUUAUUCUCUCUCUCCCAUCCACCCUGGGUUUUCUGUUCCAGAUCAGCCCUAGCCCCAUGAUGAAGUCACUCUCCUUCUUGGGGCCUUCUAGUCCAGCUUCAAGAAGAGGGGCUUGGGCCCAGGAAGCUGCUUGUUACCAGAUGCCCCCAGGUGGUUCCAAGGCAGGUGCUGGGUGGACAGGGUUAAAGAAGCAGCUGUCUUGUACAUUCCAGAAAGGCUUUGUCUUACAUUCCUCCUGGAUGUACCCCUAGAAGCCAAGGGUCUGAAGUGAGCAACCAAGAGGCUGGGGCUUCUGGAAACAAGGCAGAUGAUCCUCUUUGUGGGACUUGACUCUGAAAGCUGCUACCAUCAGUGGUUAGGAUUCUGAGCUUCUACUGCCCGGGGCCCCAGUUCAAUCCCUGGUCAGGGAACAAGAUCAUACAAGCAACACAUUGCAGACAAAUAAAUUAAAAAAAAAAUUUUUUUUAAAGAAAUACCAAUCUUACAACCCAGCCAUUGCGUCCUUCGAUUCUUACCCAAGAAUGAAAACAUGUCCACACAAAGACGUUACACAAAUGUUUGUAGGAGUUUUUCUGGUAAUAACCCCAAACUGGAAACAACACAAAUAUCGACCAUUAGAAUGGAUAAACAAAUAUGGUAUAUCCAUACAACAGAAUGUUACUCAGCAGUCAAAAGGAACAAACGAUUGAUUCACACAACAUGGAUGAACUUCAAAAUAAUUAUGUUGAGUGAAAGAAGACCAAAAAGAGUAUAUUCUGUUUGAUUUCAUUUAGGUAAAAUUCUAGAAAGGGAAUCAGUGGUUACCUGGGGCGAAGGUAGAGAGAAAGAGGGAGAGAUUACAAAAGGGCACGGGACUUCCCUGGUGGUCCAGUGGUUAAAACUCCUUGCUCCCAAUGCCGGGAGCAUGACUUUGAUGCCUGGUCUUGGUCCUGCAUACUCCACAACACAGCCAAAAUAAUAGUGAUAAUGGCAUGAAGAAACUUCUAGGUAUGAUGAGUAGGUUCAUUACCUUUAUUAAAGUAAUGUUGACACGUGUUGAAACCCAAAUUAUUUUGUGCUUUGAAUAUGCACCGUUUGUUAUGUGUCCAUUGUAAUUUAAACAAAUUUUAUUGGAAGAUA